GACGGGCCCCGCACAAGCAGCGGAGCGUGUGGUUUAAUUCGAUGCUACACGAAGAACCUUACCAGGGUUUGACAUACAAGUAGUAGGGAAAGGAAACUGGACCGACCCUUCGGGGAGCUUGUACAGGUGCUGCAUGGCUGUCGUCAGCUCGUGUCGUGAGAUGUUCGGUUAAGUCCGCUAACGAGCGCAACCCUCGCUGUGUGUUACAAGUGUCACACGGAACUGCCGGUCAUAAACCGGAGGAAGGUGGGGAUGACGUCAAGUCAGCAUGGCCUUUAUGUCCUGGGCUACACACACGCUACAAUGGCCAACACAAUAGGUUGCUAAGCCGCGAGGUGGAGCCAAUCCUCAAAGUUGGUCUCAGUUCAGAUUGCAGGCUGCAACCCGCCUGCAUGAAGAUGGAGUUGCUAGUAACCGCAGGUCAGCUAUACUGCGGUGAAUACGUUCCCGGGCCUU
Molecule: ribosomal RNA, 456 nt
Filed under: uncultured Leptolinea sp.
Lineage: Bacteria; Bacillati; Chloroflexota; Anaerolineae; Anaerolineales; Anaerolineaceae
Description: bacterial SSU rRNA
Rfam family: Bacterial small subunit ribosomal RNA
Source: RNAcentral